Enterococcus hirae ATCC 9790 is the source of this 74-nucleotide non-coding RNA. Lineage: Bacteria; Bacillati; Bacillota; Bacilli; Lactobacillales; Enterococcaceae. The record is from Rfam.
AGAGUGUUAUGAUGUUGGAAGUUAACUCUUCCGAGUCUAGCUCAGCGCUACUCCCCAAAUCUAUCGGUUUGGGG